CGUAUGUAACCUACCUUUGUCAGGGGGAUAGCCUCUCGAAAGAGAGAUUAAGCCCGCAUAAUAUGAAGACACAGCAUUGUGAUUUCAUCAAAUAUUUAUAGGAUAAAGAUGGGCAUGCGGAACAUUAGCUAGUUGGUAAGGUAAUGGCUUACCAAGGCUACGAUGUUUAGGGGAUCUGAGAGGAUGACCCCCCACACUGGUACUGAGACACGGACCAG
This 218-nucleotide ribosomal RNA is filed under the name uncultured bacterium. RNAcentral's name for it is "partial 16S ribosomal RNA". It matches the Rfam family "Bacterial small subunit ribosomal RNA", at positions 116 to 334 of the family's 1533-position model. The record is from RNAcentral.